This 497-nucleotide ribosomal RNA is filed under the name uncultured bacterium. RNAcentral describes it as "partial 16S ribosomal RNA". It matches the Rfam family "Bacterial small subunit ribosomal RNA", at positions 28 to 507 of the family's 1533-position model. The record is from RNAcentral.
GAUGAACGCUGGCGGCGUGCCUAAUACAUGCAAGUCGAGCGAACGGACGAGAAGCUUGCUUCUCUGAUGUUAGCGGCGGACGGGUGAGUAACACGUGGAUAACCUACCUAUAAGACUGGGAUAACUUCGGGAAACCGGAGCUAAUACCGGAUGAUAUUUUGAACCGCAUGGUUCAAAAGUGAAAGACGGUCUUGCUGUCACUUAUAGAUGGAUCCGCGCUGCAUUAGCUAGUUGGUAAGGUAACGGCUUACCAAGGCAACGAUGCAUAGCCGACCUGAGAGGGUGAUCGGCCACACUGGAACUGAGACACGGUCCAGACUCCUACGGGAGGCAGCAGUAGGGAAUCUUCCGCAAUGGGCGAAAGCCUGACGGAGCAACGCCGCGUGAGUGAUGAAGGUCUUCGGAUCGUAAAACUCUGCUAUUAGGGAAGAACAUAUGUGUAAGUAACUGUGCACAUCUUGACGGUACCUAAUCAGAAAGCCACGGCUAACUACGUG